GACGAACGCUGGCGGCGUGCUUAACACAUGCAAGUCGAACGGAAAGGCCCUGCUUUUGUGGGGUGCUCGAGUGGCGAACGGGUGAGUAACACGUGAGUAACCUGCCCUUGACUUUGGGAUAACUUCAGGAAACUGGGGCUAAUACCGGAUAGGAGCUACUGCUGCAUGGUGGGGGUUGGAAAGUUUCGGCGGUUGGGGAUGGACUCGCGGCUUAUCAGCUGGUUGGUGGGGUAGUGGCUUACCAAGGCUUUGACGGGUAGCCGGCCUGAGAGGGUGACCGGCCACAUUGCGACUGAGAUACGGCCCAGACUCCUACGGGAGGCAGCAGUGGGGAAUAUUGCACAAUGGGCGGAAGCCUGAUGCAGCAACGCCGCGUGCGGGAUGACGGCCUUCGGGUUGUAAACCGCUUUCGCCUGUGACGAAGCGUGAGUGACGGUAAUGGGUAAAGAAGCACCGGCUAACUACGUG
RNAcentral lists this ribosomal RNA (468 nucleotides) under uncultured bacterium. RNAcentral describes it as "partial 16S ribosomal RNA". It matches the Rfam family "Bacterial small subunit ribosomal RNA", at positions 28 to 507 of the family's 1533-position model. The record is from RNAcentral.